RNAcentral lists this ribosomal RNA (796 nucleotides) under Agaricus sp. BAB-5119. Its description in RNAcentral is "eukaryotic LSU rRNA". The stretch from base 330 to 483 matches the Rfam family "5.8S ribosomal RNA". The record is from RNAcentral. Lineage: Eukaryota; Fungi; Basidiomycota; Agaricomycetes; Agaricales; Agaricaceae.
UUUUUAUGUCGUAACCAAGGUUUCCGUAGGUGAACCUGCGGAAGGAUCAUUAUCGAAACAUGUCUUCUCGACUCGCUGUCGCUGGCUCCUCGGGGCAUGUGCACGCCUGUUCGGGACUUCAUUUCCAUCCACCCGUGCACCUUUGUAGUCUUUUCGGAUCGAGACGUCGGUGGCCAGGAUGUCCCCCCGGGACAGAGGGGAUCUGCAGCUCGCCGCUGCUGUCCUCGACCUGACACAUCCUCGACCGGGGAGUCUAUGUUUUUCACAUACACCGUAACGCGUAAACGAAUGUCCUCACAUGGGCCCCUGGCCUAUGAUAAAACCUAUACAACUUUCAGCAACGGAUCUCUUGGCUCUCGCAUCGAUGAAGAACGCAGCGAAAUGCGAUAAGUAAUGUGAAUUGCAGAAUUCAGUGAAUCAUCGAAUCUUUGAACGCACCUUGCGCUCCUUGGUAUUCCGAGGAGCAUGCCUGUUUGAGUGUCAUUAAAUUCUCAACCCCGACCUCGUUCGUGGGCUUGGAUUGUGGAGGCCGUGCCGGAAGACGUCCGUCUGUCUUUCGGCUCCUCUGAAAUGCAUUAGCGGAACGGUUUGCGAUCUGCCACAGGUGUGAUAACCGUCUACACCGACCGAGGGUGAUCGCUCUCCGGAGUUCGGCUUCCAAUCGUCUUUGCGACAAACCAUGAUGAACGCUUGACCUCAAAUCAGGUAGGACUACCCGCUGAACUUAAGCAUAUCAAUAAGCGGAGGAAAAGAAACUAACGAGGAUUCCCCUAGUAACUGCGAGUGAAGCGGGAAA